AUUGAACGCUGGCGGCAUGCCUAACACAUGCAAGUCGAACGGAAACGAUGCUAGCUUGCUAGCAGGCGUCGAGUGGCGGACGGGUGAGUAAUGUAUAGGGAUCUGCCUAGUAGUGGGGGACAACAUGUGGAAACGCAUGCUAAUACCGCAUACGCUCUACGGAGGAAAGUGGGGGACCUUUCGGGGCCUCAUGCUACUAGAUGAACCUAUAUUGGAUUAGCUUGUUGGUAAGGUAAUGGCUUACCAAGGCGACGAUCCAUAGCUGGUUUGAGAGAAUGAUCAGCCACACUGGGACUGAGACACGGCCCAGACUCCUACGGGAGGCAGCAGUGGGGAAUAUUGCACAAUGGACGAAAGUCUGAUGCAGCAAUGCCGCGUGUGUGAAGAAGGCCUUAGGGUUGUAAAGCACUUUCAGACGUGAGGAAAAGUAAUAAUUUAAUAAAUUAUUACCUUGACGUUAACGUCAGAAGAAGGACCGGCUAACUCCGUGCCAGCAGCCGCGGUAAUACGGAGGGUCCAAGCGUUAAUCGGAAUUACUGGGCGUAAAGCGCGCGUAGGCGGAUAUUUAAGUCAGAUGUGAAAUCCCUGGGCUCAACCUAGGAACUGCAUUUGGUACUGGAUAUCUAGAGUAUGGUAGAGGUGAGUGGAAUUUCAGGUGUAGCGGUGAAAUGCGUAGAGACCUGAAGGAACAUCAGUGGCGAAAGCGACUCACUGGGCCAUUACUGACGCUGAGGUGCGAAAGCGUGGGUAGCAAACAGGAUUAGAUACCCUGGUAGUCCACGCCCUAAACGAUGUCAACUAGUUGUAUGGGAGUUUAACUCCUGUGUAUCGA
Molecule: ribosomal RNA, 832 nt
Filed under: uncultured bacterium
Lineage: Bacteria
Description: bacterial SSU rRNA
Rfam family: Bacterial small subunit ribosomal RNA
Source: RNAcentral